GUUUGAAAGUGUGUAGCACUUCCCCCUUGUCUCUCUCUCUCUCUCUCUCUCUGUCUCUCUCUCCUGUCACCAUGUGAAGAUGUGCUUGCUUCCCCUUUGCCUUCUGCCAUGAUUGUAAGUUUCCUGAGGCUCCCCAGCCAUGCUCCCUGUACAGCCUGUGGAACUGCCAAGUGUCAAGGCUGUCAUCUUUAUCCUGAUCUAUUCUGAAAUUGCUUUUCUGGAAGUACUAAGCUCUACAUCCUGAAUGGAUACAUGGAGGCCGUGAAGUCCUGUUUGUAGGUAGAUAAGGGAACUUCAGGCAACAGCCUCAUCCUGUGCUUCAGGAGAGACAGAAGAUCCUGGGAGUCGGGAGGAAAGUCAGAGAGACCUUGAGGCUGCUUCAUGUCAGAGCAAGCGCCGUGUUUCCGGGAAACAACUUAUUCUUUCUGCUGUUGCUGGGUGUGGACAUUGAUUUCAGCUUUUUUGGUCCCAUGAAACACACUGCUGUGUACAUUCUUGUACAUGUCUCUAGUUGCACAUACGAGAUCUUCUAGAGUAUAGACUAACAGGUGGAAAUGCUGGAUUAUAGGACACGAAUGUGUCCAGUUGCACCAGCUAAUGCCCGAAUGACAUUUUUGUACUGAACUUUCUUUUCUUUUUCUUUCUGGUAUGUGGAAUGUUUGCACUUUCUUGGUACAAAUCUACUGUCAAUCAUGUGUUUUGCAAUUAUUCUGUCCCCCUUUGCAACAUACUUUUUUCAGUUUCCCCACGGUUGCAGAACAGUGUUUCUCAAUUUUAAUGUAGUUAAAAUCAUCAGUGUAUUGUGUCCUAGUUUGUACUUCUUGUGUCUUGUUUAAGAAAUCUCUCCCCAUCCCACAGGCAUUAAAAUAUUUUCCUGUAUUGACUUACAAAACUUGUGACUUUAUCUUUCACAUCUUAGCCUUUAAUCCAAGU
Molecule: long non-coding RNA, 933 nt
Filed under: Homo sapiens (human)
Lineage: Eukaryota; Metazoa; Chordata; Mammalia; Primates; Hominidae
Description: HSALNT0406687
Source: RNAcentral